CAUGUUCGACCUGCUGCGGGCAGAUAUAGUGGAUGUGACAGUCGAACCCGCCCGGCGUCAGGAUGCGUCCCUCGCCGGCGAUGAUUUCCGUGCCCGGCCCGAUGAUCAGGGUGACGCCGGGUUGCGUGUCGGGGUUGCCGGCCUUGCCGAUGCCGGCGAUGCGGCCGUCGCGCAGGCCGACAUCGGCCUUGGUGAUGCCCUGAUGGUCAAAGACCACGACACCGGUGAUGACCGUGUCCAUCGCGCCGUUCGCGCGGGUCACCUGCGACUGGCCCAUGCCGUCGCGGACG
RNAcentral lists this small RNA (290 nucleotides) under Paracoccus sp. SM22M-07. RNAcentral describes it as "5' ureB small RNA". It matches the Rfam family "5' ureB small RNA". Lineage: Bacteria; Pseudomonadati; Pseudomonadota; Alphaproteobacteria; Rhodobacterales; Paracoccaceae. The record is from Rfam by way of RNAcentral.